GACGAACGCUGGCGGCGUGCUUAACACAUGCAAGUCGAACGAGUGGCGGACGGGUGAGUAAUACAUGGGAACCUGCCCUUCUUUUGGGGAUAAGCCUUGGAAACGGGGUCUAAUACCGAAUAGAGGGGACUGGGCUUGCGGGGUAUCAGCGUGUUGGUGGGGUGAUGGCCUACCAAGGCGGCGUCGGGUAGCCGGCCUGAGAGGGUGAUCGGCCACAGUGGGACUGAGAUACGGCCCAGACUCCUACGGGAGGCAGCAGUGGGGAAUAUUGCACAAUGGGCGCAAGCCUGAUGCAGCCAUGCCGCGUGUAUGAAGAAGGCCUUAGGGUUGUAAAGUACUUUCAGCGGGGAGGCGUUACCCGCAGAAGAAGCACCGGCUAACUCCGUGCCAGCAGCCGCGGUAAUAC
This 406-nucleotide ribosomal RNA is filed under the name uncultured bacterium. RNAcentral describes it as "partial 16S ribosomal RNA". It matches the Rfam family "Bacterial small subunit ribosomal RNA", at positions 28 to 526 of the family's 1533-position model. The record is from RNAcentral.